GCGUUAUAUGAGAGGUUAGCACUCCCUGUGAUAAGGAUGGAAGAGGUUCUAGUGGCCUUUACAACAUACAUAUGGUUAAGGCACUGUCACCUAUUCUGUGGCAUCUAUGUUUUUUU
Monodelphis domestica (gray short-tailed opossum) is the source of this 116-nucleotide small nuclear RNA. Lineage: Eukaryota; Metazoa; Chordata; Mammalia; Didelphimorphia; Didelphidae. The record is from Ensembl.